UAAUACGGAGGGGGCUAGCGUUAUUCGGAAUUAUUGGGCGUAAAGGGCGCGUAGGCGGCCCGGUAAGUCAAAGGUGAAAUCCCUCGGCUCAACUGAGGAACUGCCUUUGAAACUGUCGGGCUUGAGGCCGGGAGGGGGUAGCGGAAUUCCCAGUGUAGCGGUGAAAUGCGUAGAUAUUGGGAGGAACACCGG
Molecule: ribosomal RNA, 192 nt
Filed under: uncultured bacterium
Lineage: Bacteria
Description: partial 16S ribosomal RNA
Rfam family: Bacterial small subunit ribosomal RNA
Source: RNAcentral